Molecule: ribosomal RNA, 484 nt
Filed under: uncultured organism
Description: bacterial SSU rRNA
Rfam family: Bacterial small subunit ribosomal RNA
Source: RNAcentral
AUUGAACGCUGGCGGCAGGCCUAACACAUGCAAGUCGAGCGGUAGAGAGAAGCUUGCUUCUCUUGAGAGCGGCGGACGGGUGAGUAAUGCCUAGGAAUCUGCCUGGUAGUGGGGGAUAACGCUCGGAAACGGACGCUAAUACCGCAUACGUCCUACGGGAGAAAGCAGGGGACCUUCGGGCCUUGCGCUAUCAGAUGAGCCUAGGUCGGAUUAGCUAGUUGGUGGGGUAAUGGCUCACCAAGGCGACGAUCCGUAACUGGUCUGAGAGGAUGAUCAGUCACACUGGAACUGAGACACGGUCCAGACUCCUACGGGAGGCAGCAGUGGGGAAUAUUGGACAAUGGGCGAAAGCCUGAUCCAGCCAUGCCGCGUGUGUGAAGAAGGUCUUCGGAUUGUAAAGCACUUUAAGUUGGGAGGAAGGGCAGUAACCUAAUACGUUGCUGUCUUGACGUUACCGACAGAAUAAGCACCGGCUAACUCUGUG